AUUGAACGCUGGCGGCAUGCCUUACACAUGCAAGUCGAACGGUAACGGGCCUUCGGGUGCCGACGAGUGGCGAACGGGUGAGUAAUACAUCGGAACGUGCCCGAUCGUGGGGGAUAACGAGGCGAAAGCUUUGCUAAUACCGCAUACGAUCUACGGAUGAAAGCAGGGGACCGCAAGGCCUUGCGCGGACGGAGCGGCCGAUGGCAGAUUAGGUAGUUGGUGGGAUAAAAGCUUACCAAGCCGACGAUCUGUAGCUGGUCUGAGAGGAUGAUCAGCCACACUGGGACUGAGACACGGCCCAGACUCCUACGGGAGGCAGCAGUGGGGAAUUUUGGACAAUGGGCGCAAGCCUGAUCCAGCCAUGCCGCGUGCAGGAUGAAGGCCUUCGGUUUGUAAACUGCUUUUGUACGGAACGAAAAGCCUUCUUUUAAUACAGGAGGGUCAUGACGGUACCGUAAGAAUAAGCACCGGCUAACUACGUG
RNAcentral lists this ribosomal RNA (482 nucleotides) under uncultured bacterium. RNAcentral's name for it is "partial 16S ribosomal RNA". It matches the Rfam family "Bacterial small subunit ribosomal RNA", at positions 30 to 507 of the family's 1533-position model. The record is from RNAcentral.